This 492-nucleotide ribosomal RNA is filed under the name uncultured bacterium. RNAcentral describes it as "partial 16S ribosomal RNA". It matches the Rfam family "Bacterial small subunit ribosomal RNA", at positions 29 to 507 of the family's 1533-position model. The record is from RNAcentral.
AGUGAACGCUGGCGGUAGGCCUAACACAUGCAAGUCGAACGGCAGCACAGUAAGAGCUUGCUCUUACGGGUGGCGAGUGGCGGACGGGUGAGGAAUACAUCGGAAUCUACUUUUUCGUGGGGGAUAACGUAGGGAAACUUACGCUAAUACCGCAUACGACCUACGGGUGAAAGCAGGGGAUCUUCGGACCUUGCGCGAUUGAAUGAGCCGAUGUCGGAUUAGAUAGUUGGCGGGGUAAAGGCCCACCAAGGCGACGAUCCGUAGCUGGUCUGAGAGGAUGAUCAGCCACACUGGAACUGAGACACGGUCCAGACUCCUACGGGAGGCAGCAGUGGGGAAUAUUGGACAAUGGGCGCAAGCCUGAUCCAGCCAGACCGCGUGUGUGAAGAAGGCCUUCGGGUUGUAAAGCCCUUUUGUUGGGAAAGAAAAGCAGCAGGUUAAUACCCCGCUGUUCUGACGGUACCCAAAGAAUAAGCACCGGCUAACUUCGUG